ACGUAGGGGGCAAGCGUUGUCCGGAUUUACUGGGUAUAAAGGGAGCGCAGGCGGACCUGUCAGUCAGGGGUGAAAUCCUACAGCUUAACUGUAGAACUGCCUUUGAUACUGCAGGUCUUGAGAUCGGAAGAGAGAGACGGAAUUCCAGGUGUAGUGGUGAAAUACGUAGAUAUCUGGAAGAACACCGAUGGCGAAGGCAGUCUCUUGGUCCGCAUCUGACGCUGAGGCUCGAAAGCGUGGGGAGCAAACAGG
RNAcentral lists this ribosomal RNA (252 nucleotides) under uncultured bacterium. RNAcentral's name for it is "partial 16S ribosomal RNA". It matches the Rfam family "Bacterial small subunit ribosomal RNA", at positions 525 to 776 of the family's 1533-position model. The record is from RNAcentral.